UACCUAUCUCUGCGGAACAACACAUAGAAAUGUGUGCUAAUACAGCAUACGCCCUUAGGGGGAAAGAUUUAUCGGAGAUAGAUGAGCCCGCGUUUGAUUAGCUAGUUGGUGAGGUAAUGGCUCACCAAGGCGACGAUCAAUAGCUGGUCUGAGAGGAUGAUCAGCCACACUGGGACUGAGACACGGCCCAGACUCCUACGGGAGGCAGCAGUGGGGAAUAUUGGACAAUGGGCGCAAGCCUGAUCCAGCCAUGCCGCGUGUGUGAUGAAGGCCCUAGGGUUGUAAAGCACUUUCGCANGUGAAGAUAAUGACGGUAACCUGUAAAGAAGCCCCGGCUAACUUCGUGCCA
RNAcentral lists this ribosomal RNA (349 nucleotides) under uncultured bacterium. Its description in RNAcentral is "bacterial SSU rRNA". It matches the Rfam family "Bacterial small subunit ribosomal RNA", at positions 127 to 510 of the family's 1533-position model. The record is from RNAcentral.